UGCAUCUGUGGAAAAUACUUGUUGGUAUAAUAUCGUGGCAUUUCGGAAUUAUUUACGGCCAAAUGAACAACAGUGGGGUAUCUUUCAUGUAUUGGAAAUGAAACGAGAAGGAA
This is a long non-coding RNA of Drosophila obscura, 113 nucleotides long. RefSeq lists it as uncharacterized. The transcript is spliced from 3 exons. Lineage: Eukaryota; Metazoa; Arthropoda; Insecta; Diptera; Drosophilidae. The record is from RefSeq and is a predicted model, not a curated record.